AUGCUCAUCUCUCAGCUGGACAGUGUCAGUGGUGUGACUGUGGUGACACAGAAGCCUCCUGUUGUGAUGGAGAGGAAAGGAGAGACAGCCUCUCUGGACUGUAACCUGGGGCCUUCUGGAAUCACUGUGGUAUUCGGACAAGGAACCAAGCUCAUUGUCAGUGACUCUACCCUCCCUCCGCCUGUCUUGACCAUCCUCCCUCCGUCCAGCGAUGAGUUGAAGUCCAACAAAGUCACCCUGGUGUGUCUGGCCAGUCAGAUGGCCAUGGGCUACGCCGAUGUCAGCUGGACCGCUGGCGGGAAUCCGGUCACCGCCGACAUCGCGACGAGUGGCCCGGUGCCGCAAGCCGACAAGACGUUCCAACUCAGUAGUUGUCUGACCGUUGACACGUCAGAAUGGAACCAGGACAAAGUGUUCUCAUGUAAAGUCACCGCGGGCUCCAAGUUCGCUGAGAAAGACAUCAAGAAGUCUGAAUGUAGCACUGAAUAGCCUGAGAACCAUUGUAAUGUCAAUUUGAUUUUCUACAUCACUUUUCAAGUUAUUAUUAAUUCAUUAGAAGUUUAACCUGCAUAUAUACAUUAUGUUCCAUUAAAGAGAGAAAUAUCCACUAAUACUGAUAUCGUUGGCUAUAUGAUAUACUUUUUAGUAUACUUUUUAUAAUUUAAAUGGGUUGCUUUGCAGAUGAAUAAUAGAGGAAUAGUUAGAGCUUUGUUGUAUUGUGGAUAUUCAAUAAAGAGCAUUAUAAAGAA
This is a non-coding RNA of Salmo salar (Atlantic salmon), 749 nucleotides long. The record is from the annotation of a RefSeq genome assembly. NCBI's taxonomy places the organism in Eukaryota, Metazoa, Chordata, Actinopteri, Salmoniformes, Salmonidae.